CCUACGGGUGGCAGCAGUGAGGAAUAUUGGUCAAUGGCCGGAAGGCUGAACCAGCCAUGCCGCGUGAAGGUCAGUGCCCUAUGGGCGUUAAACUUCUUUGACAGGGGAAGAGCAGAAGACGGUACCCCGAAAACAAGCCACGGCUAACUACGUGCCAGCAGCCGCGGUAAUACGUAGGUGGCAAGCGUUGUCCGGAUUUACUGGGUGUAAAGGGCGUGUAGCCGGGAAGGCAAGUCAGAUGUGAAAUCUGGAGGCUCAACCUCCAAAUUGCAUUUGAAACUGUUUUUCUUGAGUACUGGAGAGGCAGACGGAAUUCCUUGUGUAGCGGUGAAAUGCGUAGAUAUAAGGAGGAACACCAGUGGCGAAGGCGGUCUGCUGGACAGCAACUGACGGUGAGGCGCGAAAGCGUGGGGAGCAAACAGGAUUAGAUACCCUAUAGUC
Molecule: ribosomal RNA, 441 nt
Filed under: uncultured bacterium
Lineage: Bacteria
Description: partial 16S ribosomal RNA
Rfam family: Bacterial small subunit ribosomal RNA
Source: RNAcentral